This 765-nucleotide ribosomal RNA is filed under the name uncultured Streptococcus sp. Its description in RNAcentral is "bacterial SSU rRNA". It matches the Rfam family "Bacterial small subunit ribosomal RNA", at positions 28 to 776 of the family's 1533-position model. The record is from RNAcentral. Lineage: Bacteria; Bacillati; Bacillota; Bacilli; Lactobacillales; Streptococcaceae.
GACGAACGCGGGCGGCGUGCCUAAUACAUGCAAGUAGAACGCUGAAAGGAGGAGCUUGCUUCUCUGGAUGAGUUGCGAACGGGUGAGUAACGCGUAGGUAACCUGCCUGGUAGCGGGGGAUAACUAUUGGAAACGAUAGCUAAUACCGCAUAAGAGUAGAUGUUGCAUGACAUUUGCUUAAAAGGUGCAAUUGCAUCACUACCAGAUGGACCUGCGUUGUAUUAGCUAGUUGGUGGGGUAACGGCUCACCAAGGCGACGAUACAUAGCCGACCUGAGAGGGUGAUCGGCCACACUGGGACUGAGACACGGCCCAGACUCCUACGGGAGGCAGCAGUAGGGAAUCUUCGGCAAUGGACGGAAGUCUGACCGAGCAACGCCGCGUGAGUGAAGAAGGUUUUCGGAUCGUAAAGCUCUGUUGUAAGAGAAGAACGAGUGUGAGAGUGGAAAGUUCACACUGUGACGGUAUCUUACCAGAAAGGGACGGCUAACUACGUGCCAGCAGCCGCGGUAAUACGUAGGUGGCAAGCGUUAUCCGGAUUUAUUGGGCGUAAAGAGAGUGCAGGCGGUUUUCUAAGUCUGAUGUGAAAGCCUUCGGCUUAACCGGAGAAGUGCAUCGGAAACUGGAUAACUUGAGUGCAGAAGAGGGUAGUGGAACUCCAUGUGUAGCGGUGGAAUGCGUAGAUAUAUGGAAGAACACCAGUGGCGAAGGCGGCUACCUGGUCUGCAACUGACGCUGAGACUCGAAAGCAUGGGUAGCGAACAGG